GGCGGACGGGUGAGUAAUACUUAGGAAUCUGCCCAUUAGUGGGGGACAACUCGAGGAAACUCGAGCUAAUACCGCAUACGCCCUACGGGGGAAAGCGGAGGACCUUUCGGGGCUUCGCGCUAAUGGAUGAGCCUAAGUCGGAUUAGCUUGUUGGUGAGGUAAAGGCUCACCAAGGCGACGAUCCGUAGCUGGUCUGAGAGGACGAUCAGCCACACCGGGACUGAGACACGGCCCAG
This 236-nucleotide ribosomal RNA is filed under the name uncultured bacterium. RNAcentral describes it as "partial 16S ribosomal RNA". It matches the Rfam family "Bacterial small subunit ribosomal RNA", at positions 97 to 334 of the family's 1533-position model. The record is from RNAcentral.